Molecule: long non-coding RNA, 794 nt
Organism: Zingiber officinale
Lineage: Eukaryota; Viridiplantae; Streptophyta; Magnoliopsida; Zingiberales; Zingiberaceae
Exons: 3
Source: RefSeq, a predicted model, not a curated record
CAUUCUCUUUUCCCCGCGCGCUUUCUCCUCCCGAGUCCUAACCGACGCUGGGGCAGUUUCCCUUCUCCUCGCGAUUUAAGUGUGGUCGAGGGUUUCUGGCAUACUCUUCUUCUUCUCCCUCAUCGCGCCGCUCCUCACCCGUGCCCUAGAUCUGCAGCGCGCUGCAGCCACACGGAAGUGCCGCCGGCCGCCACUGAGCCUUGCCAACGCCGCUACCCUCUCUGAUCCGGAGCAGCGUCUUAUCGCCUCUGCUCUAGCGCCGCUCAUCCUUGUGCGCCGACGCCGAUCCCGACUUCUCGGUGAGUUGCUGUCGCGCCACCGUCGGCCGAGCCAUCCUCCGCCGACUCUCCUCCAUUGUGUCUCUGCUGACCUUGGUGGUGUUGUCCUCCCUGUGCCCUAGCUGUUUCCCCCUUGCCAUGGGCUACUGCCGCCGCCGAUCAGCAGGCACCCUCCAGUAACGCCGACGUCCUCUCGUGCCCUAAUUCCCGAUGAUCUGGGAGUGGGGAAAGGAAGAUUUCCAGUAGGGUUUGCUGUGGUUUGUUGAUUUCCGACAGCAACCCCAUUCAACAGCCCUUGAUCCAGCAGCAAUCAUGACUGUGAAUUUAGAAGAGAGCAGCGGCAGAUCCUUGCUCUUCUUUCAGAUCUGGAAGCCAAAAGAGCUGCAAAAACAAAAACAGCAGUCAUUAAGGACACACGUCAUGUUGUAGAUCGAACUAUUGAUUGAUUGGUGGCAAAUUAUCAGGAUUAAUAUAGCAAAGUAAUAUAUAUGUAUAAGAUAUUUGAUUACCUCCCAA